This 327-nucleotide ribosomal RNA is filed under the name uncultured eukaryote. RNAcentral's name for it is "partial 18S ribosomal RNA". It matches the Rfam family "Eukaryotic small subunit ribosomal RNA", at positions 1470 to 1796 of the family's 1831-position model. The record is from RNAcentral.
CCCUUAGAUGUUCUGGGCCGCACGCGCGCUACACUGACGAAUGCAACGAGCUUAUAACCUUGGCCGAAAGGUCUGGGUAAUCUCCAAAUUUCGUCGUGAUGGGGAUAGAUUAUUGCAAUUAUUAAUCUUCAACGAGGAAUGCCGAGUAAGCGCAAGUCAUCAGCUUGCGUUGAUUACGUCCCUGCCCUUUGUACACACCGCCCGUCGCUCCUACCGAUUGAAUGGUCCGGUGAAGCGUUCGGACCGUGGCCUUUGGACGGUUCGCCGUCUGUUGGCUGCGGGAAGUUCGUUAAACCUUAUCAUUUAGAGGAAGGAGAAGUCGUAACA